Molecule: unclassified non-coding RNA, 164 nt
Filed under: uncultured fungus
Lineage: Eukaryota; Fungi
Description: sequence contains ITS1, 5.8S rRNA gene
Source: RNAcentral
CCGAGUUUACAACUCCCAAACCCUUUGUGAACCUUACCUUACUGUUGCUUCGGCGGGAUCGCCCCGGCGCCACUGCGCGCCGGAUCCACGGCGCCCGCCGGGGGCCAGAAACUCUUGUUUUGUUCAGUGGUAUUCUCUCUGAGUGGCACAAGCAAAUAAAAUUA